This 443-nucleotide ribosomal RNA is filed under the name uncultured bacterium. RNAcentral's name for it is "partial 16S ribosomal RNA". It matches the Rfam family "Bacterial small subunit ribosomal RNA", at positions 338 to 795 of the family's 1533-position model. The record is from RNAcentral.
CCUACGGGUGGCAGCAGUGGGGAAUAUUGGACAAUGGGGGGAACCCUGAUCCAGCGACGCCGCGUGAGUGAAGAAGUAUUUCGGUAUGGUAAGCUCUAUCAGCAGGGAAGCAAGAAAUGACGGUACCUGACUGAGAAGCCCCGGCUAACUACGUGCCAGCAGACGCGGGAAUACGUAGGGGGCAAUCGUUAUCCGGAUUUACUGGGUGUAAAGGUAGCGUGGGCGGUUGUGCAAGUCUGGAGGGAAAGGCGGGGGCCCAACCCCCGGACUGCCUUGGAAACUGUAUAACUGGAGUGCAGGAGAGGUAAGUGGAAUGCCUAGUGUAGCGGUGAAAUGCGUAGAUAUUAGGCGGAACACCAGUGGCGAAGGCGGCUUACUGGACUGUAACUGACGCUGAGGCUCGAAAGCGUGGGGAGCAAACAGGAUUAGAUACCCUUGUAGUC